This 433-nucleotide ribosomal RNA is filed under the name uncultured bacterium. RNAcentral describes it as "partial 16S ribosomal RNA". It matches the Rfam family "Bacterial small subunit ribosomal RNA", at positions 29 to 507 of the family's 1533-position model. The record is from RNAcentral.
AACGAACGCUGGCGGCAGGCCUAACACAUGCAAGUCGAACGAGACCUUCGGGUCUAGUGGCGCAUGGGUGCGUAACGCGUGGGAACCUGCCCUUAUGUUCGGAAUAACACCCCGAAGGGGGUGCUAAUACCGGGUAAUGUCUUCGGACCAAAGAUUCAUCGCCUUUGGAUGGGCCCGCGAUGGAUUAGCUAGUUGGUAGGGUAAAAGCCUACCAAGGCGACGAUACAUAGCUGGUCUGAGAGCAUGAUCAGCCACACUGGGACUGAGACACGGCCCAGACUACUACAGGAGGCAGCAAUGGGGAAUAUUGGCAUAUGGGCGAGAGCCUGAUGCAGCAAGGCCGGGUGAGUGAUGAAGGCCUUAAAGUUGUAAAGCUCUUUAACCCGGGAUGAUAAUGACGGUACCGGAAGAAUAAGCUCCGGCUAACUCCGUG